AUAUUAAAGUUGUUGCGGUUAAAAGCUCGUAGUUGGAUUUCUGUCCAAAGUGGCCGGUCCCCACUCUGUAGGCGUAUCUGGUUCGCUUUUGGCAUCCUCCUGUAGCACGUUUCUGUCCUUCACUGGAUGGAGCGGAAUGCAGGACUUUUACUUUGAGGAAAUUCGAGUGUUCACAGCAGGCAAUCGCCCUGAAGAUAUUAGCAUGGAAUAAUAAUAUAGGACUUUGGUUUUAUUUUGUUGGUUUCUAAGGCCGAAGUAAUGAUUAAUAGGGAUAUUUGGGGCCGUUUGUAUUAUGAGGUCAGAGGUGGAAUUCUUUGAUUCUCAUACGACAAACUACUGCGAAAGCAUUCGGCAAGAAUGUUUUCAUUGAUCAAGAACGAAAGUGUGGGGAUCGAAGAUGAUUAGAUACCGUCGUAGUCUACACCAUAAACUAUGCCGACUAGGGAUUGGAGGUUGUCUUCUUGUAACUCCUUCAGCACCUUACGAGAAAUCAAAGUUUUUGGGUUCCGGGGGGAGUAUGGU
This 522-nucleotide ribosomal RNA is filed under the name uncultured Syndiniales. Its description in RNAcentral is "bacterial SSU rRNA". It matches the Rfam family "Eukaryotic small subunit ribosomal RNA", at positions 601 to 1129 of the family's 1831-position model. Lineage: Eukaryota; Dinophyceae; Syndiniales. The record is from RNAcentral.